UGUGCAUUUAAAUUUGUGUGGUAUAUGCUGUGUUAUGUAACUGUGUUAUUUACAGAUAUUGUCUAGCUGAAUUCUUGAUAUUCUUUUACAAGCAUGUACAAGGUCCUGAAUAUAUGAAACCAUCACACUUAAAAGCAUGUGCAUACAUAUUCCCAGAAUUUCCAUCGUUGAUAAAUAUAACAAGGAAAGAGAAAUGAAUAAACAAGUUUGGAUCUUAAUCAGAGCAUCACUGGGGUGACUGAAAAUCAUAGAAAUUGACAUAUCCUACCACCAAAAAUCAAUCAUCACAUAAAGCUCAUAAUGUGUAGUUGAUGACAGUAAGAAAAUGAUCUUUUUUAAUUCCAGCUCAUGAUGGUCAACAGCAUUUACCCCUAGUGCAGUUUCCUUUUUAAACAUGAAAUCUUCAUGCAUUCUGGAAAAAUAAAAAUACAGAGACAAUCAAGAGAUACUGUGGUUUACAGAAAAUUGCUUCAUGUAGUAUUGGAGACCCACGGAAGCUGGUUUUAGUUUAGACCCUUCAGUCAGUGAAUAUAAUAUUCAUAUUGGAGCAAGAUUUAAAUCUCCUGCACUGUAAUACUCUUCAGGAAAUACACCUACCGUGUGGAGAGAUUUCAGAAGAAAGUAUUAGAGAGCACAGAAGUAUGUCUUUGAUGAAGGAGAGGCAUAUGAAAGCACUUUCAAGUCUUGCCCUUCAAAAGGUGGAAAUAAUCUCUUCUUCCUAUUAUGGUACAUAGGACAAGAAGUUGCUCAUUUAAAUUGCUGUAAAAGAGAUACGAUCUACAA
Molecule: long non-coding RNA, 783 nt
Filed under: Numida meleagris (helmeted guineafowl)
Lineage: Eukaryota; Metazoa; Chordata; Aves; Galliformes; Numididae
Description: lncRNA (ENSNMEG00000015225.1)
Source: RNAcentral